This 22-nucleotide small nuclear RNA is filed under the name Arabidopsis thaliana (thale cress). Its description in RNAcentral is "snRNA_18273". The record is from RNAcentral. Lineage: Eukaryota; Viridiplantae; Streptophyta; Magnoliopsida; Brassicales; Brassicaceae.
AAUUUACACCGAUAUCUUGGAU